GACAGAGGGUGCAAACGUUGUUCGGAUUUACUGGGCGUAAAGCGCGUGUAGGCGGCUUUGCAAGUCGGAUGUGAAAGCCCACGGCUCAACCGUGGAAGUGCAUCCGAAACUGCAUGGCUUGAGUCUCGGAGAGGAAGGUGGAAUGCUUGGUGUAGAGGUGAAAUUCGUAGAUAUUGGGAAGAACACCGAUGGCGAAGGCAGCCAUCUGGACCGACACUGACGCUGAGGCGCGAAAGCGUGGGGAGCAAACAGG
This 253-nucleotide ribosomal RNA is filed under the name uncultured bacterium. RNAcentral's name for it is "partial 16S ribosomal RNA". It matches the Rfam family "Bacterial small subunit ribosomal RNA", at positions 524 to 776 of the family's 1533-position model. The record is from RNAcentral.